UUAAAAAUCUUCCCAGUGGCAGCAUAAAUAAAAACAUGGUUGUGUGCAAAUUGUGCAACAAAGAGUUUUCUUAUUACCGCAGCACUUACAGCCUACAGGAUUACCUCAGUGUAAAAUAUGUUGCUGUUAGAACCAGAGCUAACAUUAGCUACGACAGUCCUGGUACAAGUAAACGGUGUAGCCAUCCCAUAAUAGAUCAUUUUUCAAGACACUGUUUACAAAAAGCCUUGAAAUGUGGAAUAUAAUCGCUAUAAUUGCUAUAAUUGCAUUUUGAAUUUGCAGUAAUCUGUGAAUGAAGUAGACAGACAAAAAAAUGUGCAGAUAAAUGAAGCAAGCAUUUUUGCUGUUUAAGAUAUUACUCCGCCAAGAACAUGGAGCCUCGGUGGAGCUACAUGACGUUCGGCUUUGGUUUUGUCAGGCUGGCAGCUGCCAGGCUUAGAUAGUCCCCUCUCCCUCUUCCUCCUCCCCGUUCUUCCUUUUUAGGUUUGUCUAUGGAGUAAUUGCAGCGGCAGGUGUUCAUCAUCAUCAGCUCGUGCAGCAGCGGGUGGAAUGCAGCCAAUCAAGCCUCACACACUCCGCAAUAUAACCAGACGCCACUCACCUCUCAGUGCCGGAUCGUGACACAGCCACUCCGGAUCCAUCUGCUCCUGCUUUGUUCCACCUGGGUUCCCCGUCGCCUGCAGCUCGUGGUUUCGUCCUACACCUGGGAUUCACUCACCUGUGCCGUCUCUACCAUCUGGCUUUCCUCUAUUACCAACCUGCCGCUGCAACACGCCCAAAACCACAUGCGGGGUUCCCAGCCCUGAACCCAGUCCGAGCAUCUGAUUACCAGUCACUUAAGUAGCCCUCUCAGUUCAGUUAUUAGAGUCACUCGCGUCGUUUGUAUUAUUUCUUCAGAGCUCAGUGCUAGUAGUUUGAGUCGUAGUUUAGCUUUUGUAGUUUUCUAGCUUGUAGUUUAGCUUCAUCUUAGUUUAGAGCUUUGUUAUCUUGUUCCUAGAGUCGCUUAGUCUUGCCUUUCUUGCCUGGGUCUUACCCACCGUGAGUCAGCUUUUGAGUUUUUGUAAUGAGUCCACCUAGCCACUAGUAGUAGUCGAGUUCUCAGCUCUGUGUUUACCUUGAGUAGUACCGGUUGUAGUUUUCCGGCUCCGACUUGUAGUUCUGUUACCAUUUUCUGUAAAUAAAUUUCUUUAUAUUGCA
Long non-coding RNA from Amphiprion ocellaris (clown anemonefish), 1197 nucleotides. RefSeq lists it as uncharacterized. Lineage: Eukaryota; Metazoa; Chordata; Actinopteri; Pomacentridae. The record is from RefSeq and is a predicted model, not a curated record. The transcript is spliced from 2 exons.